This 583-nucleotide ribosomal RNA is filed under the name uncultured bacterium. RNAcentral describes it as "bacterial SSU rRNA". It matches the Rfam family "Bacterial small subunit ribosomal RNA", at positions 102 to 671 of the family's 1533-position model. The record is from RNAcentral.
ACGGGUGAGUAACACGUGGGCAACCUGCCCUUGAGACUGGGAUAACUUCGGGAAACCGGAGCUAAUACCGGAUAAUAUAAGGAACCUCCUGGUUCCUUGUUGAAAGAUGGUUUCGGCUAUCACUUAAGGAUGGGCCCGCGGCGCAUUAGCUAGUUGGUGAGGUAACGGCUCACCAAGGCGACGAUGCGUAGCCGACCUGAGAGGGUGAUCGGCCACACUGGGACUGAGACACGGCCCAGACUCCUGCGGGAGGCAGCAGUAGGGAAUCUUCCACAAUGGACGAAAGUCUGAUGGAGCAACGCCGCGUGAGUGAUGAAGGCCUUCGGGUCGUAAAGCUCUGUUGUUAGGGAAGAACAAGUGCGAGAGUAACUGCUCGCACCUUGACGGUACCUAACCAGAAAGCCACGGCUAACUACGUGCCAGCAGCCGCGGUAAUACGUAGGUGGCAAGCGUUAUCCGGAAUUAUUGGGCGUAAAGCGCGCGCAGGUGGUUUCUUAAGUCUGAUGUGAAAGCCCACGGCUCAACCGUGGAGGGUCAUUGGAAACUGGGGAACUUGAGUGCAGAAGAGGAAAGUGGAAUUCCA